GGCCUCGUGGCCCAAUGGCAAGGCGUCUGACUACGAUUAGUAAACAACUUCAAUAGCUGUACUAGUUAAUCAGGAGAUUCUGGGUUCGACCCCCAGCGAGGUCA
Nemania sp. NC0429 is the source of this 104-nucleotide non-coding RNA. NCBI's taxonomy places the organism in Eukaryota, Fungi, Ascomycota, Sordariomycetes, Xylariales, Xylariaceae. The record is from the annotation of a GenBank genome assembly.